Camelus ferus (Wild Bactrian camel) is the source of this 73-nucleotide transfer RNA. It matches the Rfam family "tRNA". Rfam says of the family: Transfer RNA (tRNA) molecules are approximately 80 nucleotides in length. Their secondary structure includes four short double-helical elements and three loops (D, anti-codon, and T loops). Further hydrogen bonds mediate the characteristic L-shaped molecular structure. tRNAs have two regions of fundamental functional importance: the anti-codon, which is responsible for specific mRNA codon recognition, and the 3' end, to which the tRNAs corresponding amino acid is attached (by aminoacyl-tRNA synthetases). tRNAs cope with the degeneracy of the genetic code in two manners: having more than one tRNA (with a specific anti-codon) for a particular amino acid; and 'wobble' base-pairing, i.e. permitting non-standard base-pairing at the 3rd anti-codon position. NCBI's taxonomy places the organism in Eukaryota, Metazoa, Chordata, Mammalia, Artiodactyla, Camelidae. The record is from Rfam.
GAAGGUAUAACUCAAGCAGUAGAGUGUAUGCUUAGCAUGCACAAGGUCCUGGGUUCGAUCCCCAGUGCCUCCU